This 633-nucleotide long non-coding RNA is filed under the name Phoenix dactylifera (date palm). Its description in RNAcentral is "long non-coding RNA (PDAC_LNC007799)". The record is from RNAcentral. Lineage: Eukaryota; Viridiplantae; Streptophyta; Magnoliopsida; Arecales; Arecaceae.
CCAUCCACUUUCCUAGGAAAGUUAUAUAUAAUUCCUAUUAUGCCCUUAAUAAAAAUUAGAUUUUUAAUGCCUCUUUAAUGCUUCUUUAAUGCUGAAAGGACUUUUUGGGAAAAAGUAAAAAUGGAGUGAUUCCCGCCUCAUGGGAAAGUUACUUUCCCAUGUUUCUCAUGGGAAAGACUUUCCCAUGAAAUGUGGGAAUCACAUUCCCAUGGGAAUAUNNNNNNNNNNNNNNNNNNNNAAAGACUUUCCCAUGAAAUGUGGGAAUCACAUUCCCAUGGGAAUAUAACUUUCCCUUCUCUCUCCUUUGAAAAACUCCAACCAAACAAGAGGCAUCUCAUUACUUUUCCGUUGACCACACUUUCCCCCCUCUUUUUCCCACGAACCAAACGAGCCCUAAGGAUUGGGGCCAUUACGAUUUUCUACACUUUCUAUGCUAGCUUCUCCUCAGUGUAACUGUAUCAAAACCUUUUAUACCUGAUAUCCCUCGUAUGACUCUCAUGAUAGCAAAUCCUUUACAACGUUAAUUGUAAGAAUUUCCUAAAUUUCAAGUUAGUAGCAAAUACUGAUAAACUAAAAUUGCUCGUUUAUGGGAUCCACCACCCCAAAAACGAACACACUUAAGUUUAUGAUUGA